UACGAAGGAGGCAAGCGUUAUCCGGAAUUAUUGGGCGUAAAGCGUCCGUAGGCGGUUGAGCCAGUCUGUCGUCAAAGCGUGAGGCUUAACCUCAUACAGGCGAUGGAAACUGUUUGACUAGAGUGCAGUAGGGGUAGCGGGAACUCCCGGUGUAGCGGUGAAAUGCGUAGAUAUCGGGAAGAACACCAGAGGCGAAGGCGCGCUACUGGGCUGCAACUGACGCUGAUGGACGAAAGCUAGGGGAGCGAAAGGG
RNAcentral lists this ribosomal RNA (253 nucleotides) under uncultured bacterium. RNAcentral describes it as "partial 16S ribosomal RNA". It matches the Rfam family "Bacterial small subunit ribosomal RNA", at positions 524 to 776 of the family's 1533-position model. The record is from RNAcentral.